This 336-nucleotide small RNA is filed under the name Arabidopsis thaliana (thale cress). RNAcentral describes it as "ATSL093770". The record is from RNAcentral. Lineage: Eukaryota; Viridiplantae; Streptophyta; Magnoliopsida; Brassicales; Brassicaceae.
AUAUAGACGAAUAUCUCAGGAACUAGUGGAUCAAGCAUUCCAUCGAACACAUUCUAGGUGUAGGAAUACUUUGGAUCGAAUAUCUCAGGAAAGAAAUAAGCAGUAAACACAACUAGUCCUAAAGGGAUUCAAUCAAGUCUAAAACUUAACCAUUCUACACACUACGGAUUCCACAACCAUUCUAUCUCAUCCUUUAGAACUCUAUGUCACUACUCAGACAACAUGCUCAGAGACAUAAUCGCAGGUAAACAAGUAUAUUGCAUCAGUAAAGAGAUAAAGAGUAGAGAUACAAGAUGACAUAUGAAAUCAAAUGCGGAAUCUGAAUAACUUGGAAAA